CAACUGCGCGCUAACCUAGAAC
Molecule: small nuclear RNA, 22 nt
Filed under: Arabidopsis thaliana (thale cress)
Lineage: Eukaryota; Viridiplantae; Streptophyta; Magnoliopsida; Brassicales; Brassicaceae
Description: snRNA_10742
Source: RNAcentral